This 1245-nucleotide long non-coding RNA is filed under the name Homo sapiens (human). RNAcentral describes it as "non-protein coding MIR3663HG:10". Lineage: Eukaryota; Metazoa; Chordata; Mammalia; Primates; Hominidae. The record is from RNAcentral.
CAAUAACUCGUUGGAGCUAUUUUGUCAUACUUGAGAUUUUCCAGAAAAUAGAACAAGCCCACAGAAUGGGUUUAAUCUGCCAAAGCAUCUCCCUCUUUACAAGCAUCUACACAGGCCUCCAGCCCUAAGUACUUUCACCUGGACAAUGUUAUGAAGCUUAAUCCAGUACUAGUAGCAGAAAGACUUGUGAAGCUGGGAUUAUGAGCGCCUGCCAUCAUGCCUGGCUAAUUUUUGUAUUUUUAGUAGAGGUGGGGUUUCGCCAUGUUGGCCAGGCUGGUCUUGAACUCCUGACCUCAGGAUCGGCACCCCAAAGUGCUGGGAUUACAGGUGCGAGUCUGCACCGGGCCAUAUUGCUAAUUUUAGAAGUGUUUUUAAACACAUUAAACCCAGCCUCUUUUCUUUUCUUUCUUUUUUUAGCUACUUGGGAGGCUGAGGCAGGAGAAUCACUUGAACACAGGAAGUGGAGGUUGCAGUGAGCCAAGAUCAUGCCACUGCACUCCAGCCUGGGGACAGAGUGAGACUCUGUCUCAAAAAAAAAAAAAAAAAAAAAAAUUAGCUGGGUGUGGUGGUGUGUUCCUGCAAUCCCAGCCACUUGGGAAACUGGGGCAGGAGAAUCUCUUGAACCCGAGAGGCAGAGGUUUCAGUGAGCCACUGCACUCCAGCCUAAGCAACAAGAGCGAAACCUCUGUCUCAAAAACAAAAUAAAAAUAAACAUGAAUAGACUUUGAAUGAGGGACUGAGAAGGUCCCCUAUGAGCAAAGAACUCAAGUUGAAAUGUACAGACUCUGUGAUAUGCCGAUUUUAACUGCUCAGUGGCACUGUCUUCUUCCUUUUCCAGUUGGGGCUCUCUUCUGGAUGGGGUGAGGUUUAUAAAAUAAGUGACUUCUGAGCAAGCAUUCCUACACACUGAAAUAAAAAUACUUCAUGAUUUUGAUACAGGGAGUUCUUAGAGACUUGCAUGGAGUAGGUGUCACUACCUGCUUGUUGAAUAAAUGGCUCCAGCAGCUUUUCAUGCAGUAAGAAAUUUUAGAAAAUGAUGGGUUUAAAGACGCUUUGAAACACAAAUUAGGCGGGGGCAGGGAAUAUGAAAAGCAUCCCCAAAGCUCAGAUUGUGAUUUAGCUCAUUUUGAUGGCAUCAUUUCACCCAACCCCAGACAGUGCAUCUUGUUCGGGUUUCAAGAAGCCUGGGUGUAAGACAGGCCUAAGGAUUCCUUCCCCUAGAUAAUACAUCCUUUCCCCCCACCA